UAGGGAAUCUUCGGCAAUGGACGAAAGUCUGACCGAGCAACGCCGCGUGAGUGAAGAAGGUUUUCGGAUCGUAAAACUCUGUUGUUAGAGAAGAACAAGGACGUUAGUAACUGAACGUCCCCUGACGGUAUCUAACCAGAAAGCCACGGCUAACUACGUGCCAGCAGCCGCGGUAAUACGUAGGUGGCAAGCGUUGUCCGGAUUUAUUGGGCGUAAAGCGAGCGCAGGCGGUUUCUUAAGUCUGAUGUGAAAGCCCCCGGCUCAACCGGGGAGGGUCAUUGGAAACUGGGAGGCUUGAGUGCAGAAGAGGAGAGUGGAAUUCCAUGUGUAGCGGUGAAAUGCGUAGAUAUAUGGAGGAACACCAGUGGCGAAGGCGGCUCUCUGGUCUGUAACAGACGCUGAGGCUCGAAAGCGUGGGGAGCAAACAGG
This 429-nucleotide ribosomal RNA is filed under the name Gemmatimonadota bacterium. RNAcentral describes it as "Gemmatimonadetes bacterium partial 16S ribosomal RNA". It matches the Rfam family "Bacterial small subunit ribosomal RNA", at positions 355 to 776 of the family's 1533-position model. Lineage: Bacteria; Pseudomonadati; Gemmatimonadota. The record is from RNAcentral.